This 1228-nucleotide long non-coding RNA is filed under the name Marmota monax (woodchuck). Lineage: Eukaryota; Metazoa; Chordata; Mammalia; Rodentia; Sciuridae. The record is from RNAcentral.
GCCAUGAAUAGAUCAAAAGAAGUAGUUCUUACAACAAAUAUCCACUGCCAUAAUGAAUUUCAAUGUUUCUACUGAUCUACAAUAGAAAAUUCAGUGAACCAUUAGCUACUUGAUGUCCUAUAAUAUCUGUGGGAAGUUAAGGUGUUGCCCUGUGAUCAGUUUCUAUCGUCACCACUCUGGGAUCUGAAGCAAGGCACAUCACCUCUUGGAGCUUUAGGUCAAUGAGUCAGAUAAAGGUCACUCUCUAACACUAUUUCAAGAAUUGAGCACACUUUCCCAAAUGAAAGUCUUAGACAUACAAAAUUCCUCAACAGAAUGCAAGUUUAUUGUAUUGGACCCAAUUCAUCUCCUCUCCCUAACUGACUAAACAAGAUUAAGGAUGACACAUUAUGAGACUUCCAGUCAUUCAAAGGUAUCCACCUCCAUUUCUCAGUUGAGGGGUCUGUAGAAUGUGAUUAAAGGGUUAUCAAUGCUUUCCUGGGCUAACUUUGUAGAUCAAGCAAUGUAUACUUAAUUUCUUUCCCUCCUGCAAUUCCACUAAAAUACAGUAGGCUCAUAAGGACUAGGAAAAUAGAGAAAACAAAAAGCAACAAUUCACAAGUAGAAGAGCAGAUGAAUAAGUCCUGAUGCAGCAUUUCCAAGAGAACUGACCCUUUGUCACUCAACAUUCAGAAUCCUAAAGGGACAAGGACAAUCACUACCAGGUCCUCUGAUCUUGGGUUAGGUUGCAGGUGGGCCAGCUGAGAAAGCUUAGCUCUCUAUAGAAUCCUGUCUCCACUCCAUGUACUAGGGCAAUCUCCUUUCUAAAACUCUGGAAAAUUUUUCUCUGGGCAAUGGGAUACAGAGGCUCUCUGAAUCGAGGCAAUGCCAAACAUAAGGAACAGAGAGGUAACUGUCUUCAAAUGGGGAUAUGUUGGCUAUAUGCACACUGAAAGCACAGAUCCUACAGUCUUAGUAACCCUGGCUUACACAGUAUUGGUACUGUAUCUCUAGGCAAGGAAAAAACCCUUUCCUGUGGGACUGGAGUUGUGGCUCAGUGGUAGUGCACUCAUCUGGCAGGUGUGAGGCACUAGGUUUGAUCCUCAGCACCACAUAAAAAUAAAUAAAUCAAUUAAAAGUAUUGUGUCCAUCUACAAUUUUAAAAAAAAAAUGCCUUCCCAGGAGGAUCACACCAGUGUCCGAACAGGGAACUAGAGACAUGUAGUUAGGCAUAUACCAAACAGUCCAC